UACGCAGGGUGCUAGCGGUGUUCGGAAUUACUGGGCGUAACGCGCACGCAGGUGGAUGUAUAAGUCAGGGGUGAAAUCCCGGGGCUCAACCUCGGAAUUGCCUUUGAUACUGUCUAUCUUGAGUCCGGGAGAGGUGAGUGGAAUUCCUAGUGUAGAGGUGAAAUUCGUAGAUAUUAGGAAGAACACCAGUGGCGAAGGCGGCUCACUGGCCCGGUACUGACGCUCAUGUGCGAAAGCGUGGGGAGCAAACAGG
This 253-nucleotide ribosomal RNA is filed under the name uncultured bacterium. RNAcentral describes it as "partial 16S ribosomal RNA". It matches the Rfam family "Bacterial small subunit ribosomal RNA", at positions 524 to 776 of the family's 1533-position model. The record is from RNAcentral.